GCCCUCGUAGCUCAGGGGAUAGAGCACUGGUUUCCGGUACCAGGGGUCGGAGGUUCGAAUCCUCUCGAGGGCA
RNAcentral lists this transfer RNA (73 nucleotides) under Corynebacterium dentalis. Its description in RNAcentral is "tRNA-Arg". It matches the Rfam family "tRNA". Rfam says of the family: Transfer RNA (tRNA) molecules are approximately 80 nucleotides in length. Their secondary structure includes four short double-helical elements and three loops (D, anti-codon, and T loops). RNAcentral also lists the same sequence under 1 other name. The record is from RNAcentral. Lineage: Bacteria; Bacillati; Actinomycetota; Actinomycetes; Mycobacteriales; Corynebacteriaceae.